Long non-coding RNA from Piliocolobus tephrosceles (Ugandan red Colobus), 2451 nucleotides. NCBI's taxonomy places the organism in Eukaryota, Metazoa, Chordata, Mammalia, Primates, Cercopithecidae. The record is from Ensembl.
AUGCAUGAUAAUGUUAAUAACAAUGAUAAACAAACAAAUGAUCUUGUUUUAUGUCUAUUUAAUGAAAAAAGUUUAUCUACUUGUACCGAUCCUGAAGAAAAAAAAAUAUUUUUUAGUAUAAAUAAUUUAUUUGAUAAAAAUAUUCAAGAUUUUAAUAUGUUUUUUAAUAUUAAUAUAGAAAAAGCACAAGAUAUAUCUUUAUAUAAAAUAAAAAUUACUAUUUUACCUUUAAUACAUAUAACAGAAUUAUUAAAUAAAAUUAUAAAUAAAAUUAUAAAAAAAAGAAAAAUGAAUAAUUCAAAAUUUUUAAUAGAUCUUAUAUAUAAAUUACAAGAAUAUUUAAAUGUAGAUGAUGUAAAUAAAACUGUACUUUUAUAUCUUUUAAAAAAUAUAACAACACCUCUAUUCGAUUUUAUUAAACAGUAUAUAUUUAAUGGAAAAGUAUGUGAUACAUAUAAUGAAUUUUUUAUACACGAAAAUAAACAUAUUACACCAUAUUACAGACAAAAUAAUAAUAAUAUAUCACUAUAUUAUAAUAAUAUUUAUAAAUAUAUUUUUAAAAAAUAUAUUGACUUAUCAACAAAUUAUUGGGGAGCUAAAUAUAUUCUACUAUAUAAAAAAGUACCUAUAUUUUUAAAAACAAUAUGUAAUCAAAUUUUUAUUACUGGAAAGUAUAUUGAUGUAUUGUUAACAUGUUCGAAAUUGUUUAUUAUAAAUAAGCAAAGGCGGAUUAAAACUGGUUACAUGGGUGCUAACAAUGCCAAUUAUCAUGAUGAUAACUAUAGCAAUACAACAACCAACUCGAUCUUACAUAACGACAACUUUUCCCAAAAUGAUCAACGAGCACCCGCAGGAGAUUGGAUGAGAAAAAACAUUCCUAACACUACGUUCAACAAUUUUUCUAAUAUGAAUAAUGGAAUUUAUAACACUGAUACAUAUUUCAAUAACAUUGUUUUCAAUAAUGGUAAAAAUUUUAUUGGAAAUAAUCCAUAUAUAACUACAAGAUCAAUUACAAAUAAAAAAUCAAAUCAAGACGAAAAUAAUAAUUUUUGUACUAACAUAAAUAAUCAACAUAAUAGUAAAACAUGCUAUUUAAUUUAUGAUUGUGAUAGAAAAAUAUAUGAAGAUAUUAUACAUAAUCAACAUUUAUAUGCAUCAAAACAAAUGUUUGAAUUAUAUAUAUUAAAAAUAAAUAUAACUGAAAAAUUAAGACAUCAUUAUUUCUUUUUCUUUUUACAAAUUAGUGAUUAUUUAAAAUAUUUUUAUAUUUUAGCUCAUGAAUAUCUUGAAAUGUUAUAUACAAAUAAAACAAAUAAUAUUUUAAAUAAAUUAAAAAAUUAUUUCGAUAUAUCUAUAAGAUCAUCCCUUUUAUACAAUUUAAAAUACAGAACAGAUUAUAACAUAGGAAUGUCUGAUAUACUUAACAUAACUGAUAAUGUUAAUUUAAUAAUUAAUUUGAAAUAUUGGAAUAUAACUAAUGAUCAAAAUGGAGAAAAUGGAGAAAAUGGAGAAAAUGGAUAUACAAAUAUAAAAAAUAAUAGUAAAUUAGAUGAAAAUCAAAUGUAUAAUAAUAAUUUCCAAGGUGUUAAUAUAAGUGGCAAUAGUGGUAAUACUGGAAAUAGUGGAAAUAAUGGAAAUAGUGGUAGUAAUAGUAGUAGUAGUGGUAAUAGUGACGAUGAUGAUGAUGAUGACGAUCCUAACGAUAGAAGAGCUUAUCGUAAUGGUGCUAAUAUAAUUAAUGAUAGUGCAUGUGAAGAUAAUACAAAGUAUAAUAAUACAUUAAGUAAUAAAAAUGUAAAAAAAAUAGAAAAAAAAAGAAGAAUUAAUAUAGCUAAAAGAAAUUUAACAAAUGUACAAACAAAUAUUAAUGUUGAAAUUUAUAAAGGAAUGGUAUUAUUAUAUCAUAAUAUUUUUCCAUAUAAUUUAAUUUUUAAUAAUAUAACUAUUUUUAAAUAUACACUUAUAUUUCGUGUAUUAAAUUAUUGUAAAUAUAUAGAACAUAAAUUAACAGAAGUAUGGAUUAAUCAUAUGUUUUUUAAAAAUAUAGAUAUACCAGAAGAAUGUAAAAACAAUUUAAUGAUAUGUAUACAUACAAGAGAAUGUAUGAUUCAUUUUUUAAAAUGUUAUAUUUACCAUAUUCAAAAUGAUGUUAUAAAAAUGGAGUAUAAUAAUAUGCUUACUAAAUUAAAAGAAACAUUUAUAUUUGAUGAUAUUAUACAUAUUCAUAAUAAAUAUUUGAAUAAUAUUUUAAAAUAUUGUUUUAUAAUUAAUUAUGAUAUUAUUAAUUGUAUUUUUAAAAUAAUUUCUAUUGCUCAUAUAUUUACAAGACAUAUAUUAAAAUUUAGUUUUAACAGAAGUGAACAAAUUGAAACAAUAACUUCGCAUAAUAAUGAUAUUACUAGUACAAAUACAUUAGAUCGAAAUAGUAAUUAUAAAAAAAAAAAUAAAUAG